GCGGGUGUAGCUCAAUGGUUAGAGCGAUGCCUUGCCAAGGCAUAGGUUGUGAGUUCGAGUCUCAUCACCCGCU
Molecule: transfer RNA, 73 nt
Filed under: Dunaliella salina
Lineage: Eukaryota; Viridiplantae; Chlorophyta; Chlorophyceae; Chlamydomonadales; Dunaliellaceae
Description: tRNA-Gly
Rfam family: tRNA
About the family: Transfer RNA (tRNA) molecules are approximately 80 nucleotides in length. Their secondary structure includes four short double-helical elements and three loops (D, anti-codon, and T loops).
Source: RNAcentral